UCCUCGUUGGUCUAGUGGCUAUGAUUUCCGCUUGUCAUCGCAAGAUUGCAAAGCGCGGGAGACCAGUGAGUACACCUCCACCUCCUCAUGCAUCGCAAUUGCUAACAUUCAUUGCGAGGGGUUCGAUUCCCUGACGAGGAG
Molecule: non-coding RNA, 141 nt
Organism: Teratosphaeria nubilosa
Lineage: Eukaryota; Fungi; Ascomycota; Dothideomycetes; Mycosphaerellales; Teratosphaeriaceae
Source: the annotation of a GenBank genome assembly